This 468-nucleotide ribosomal RNA is filed under the name uncultured bacterium. RNAcentral's name for it is "partial 16S ribosomal RNA". It matches the Rfam family "Bacterial small subunit ribosomal RNA", at positions 28 to 507 of the family's 1533-position model. The record is from RNAcentral.
GACGAACGCUGGCGGCGUGCUUAACACAUGCAAGUCGAACGGAAAGGCCCUGCUUUUGUUGGGUGCUCGAGUGGCGAACGGGUGAGUAACACGUGAGUAACCUGCCCUUGACUUUGGGAUAACUUCAGGAAACUGGGGCUAAUACCGGAUAGGAGCUCCUGCUGCAUGGUGGGGGUUGGAAAGUUUCGGCGGUUGGGGAUGGACUCGCGGCUUAUCAGCUUGUUGGUGGGGUAGUGGCUUACCAAGGCUUUGACGGGUAGCCGGCCUGAGAGGGUGACCGGCCACAUUGGGACUGAGAUACGGCCCAGAAGCCUACGGGAGGCAGCAGUGGGGAAUAUUGCACAAUGGGCGGAAGCCUGAUGCAGCAACGCCGCGUGCGGGAUGACGGCCUUCGGGUUGUAAACCGCUUUCGCCUGUGACGAAGCGUGAGUGACGGUAAUGGGUAAAGAAGCACCGGCUAACUACGUG